RNAcentral lists this ribosomal RNA (301 nucleotides) under uncultured bacterium. RNAcentral describes it as "partial 16S ribosomal RNA". It matches the Rfam family "Bacterial small subunit ribosomal RNA", at positions 509 to 807 of the family's 1533-position model. The record is from RNAcentral.
CAGUCGCCGCGGUAAAACGGAGGGUGCAAGCGUUAAUCGGAAUUACUGGGCGUAAAGCGUGCGUAGGCGGUUCGUUAAGUCUGUUGUGAAAGCCCCGGGCUCAACCUGGGAAUGGCAAUGGAUACUGGCGAGCUAGAGUGUGUCAGAGGAUGGUGGAAUUCCCGGUGUAGCGGUGAAAUGCGUAGAGAUCGGGAGGAACAUCAGUGGCGAAGGCGGCCAUCUGGGACAACACUGACGCUGAGGCACGAAAGCGUGGGGGGCAAACAGGAUUAGAUACCCCCGUAGUCCCUGUCUCUUAUAC